Molecule: long non-coding RNA, 3913 nt
Filed under: Marmota monax (woodchuck)
Lineage: Eukaryota; Metazoa; Chordata; Mammalia; Rodentia; Sciuridae
Source: RNAcentral
UAUAUCUUUCUCUUUUUAUAAACCCUUUCUUACUUUACAUAGGGAUAUAUGAUGAGCAUAGUUAAUAUUGGUGAAAAGUAGAUUGAUUUUUAGAACUUACUUUCUAUUGAGAAAGAUUAUAAAGAUAUGAGAACUAGUGCACCUUGACUGAGAAACAAAGAAACUCUUUGAGAAAGUAGCUCAACCAGUUUUAUGAGAAUAAAUUUAGGAAUUAAUUAAAACAGCUUUAUAAGACACAGUUUUAGAAUAAUGUUAGAAAUAUUAUUUUAUUUAGAUUCUUAAGUUUAGAAAUUCUUAAGUUUUUAGUUGUAUAGGCUUCUGAUAUGUUUUAAGAAUGAUUCAUAAACUUUAGUAUAUUUUAAAUAUAAGAUUUAAAGGGACUUUUCUUAGAUGGGAAUUUUAGAUUAGAAAUAAAGUACAGGUGUAGUUUAGGUUAAUGAUUGGUUAAGAGACUUAGAGUCUGGUUGCGUAGUUUGGCAUUAGUUAAUAAGAAAAUAGCAUAUCUUGGGAAAAAUAGUAAAUCUUGGGAAAAUCUGAAAAAUGUAAAUUAGUGACGUAUUUUAUUAAUGAUUCUGUACUUUUAAUAAUUAUAUAACUGAAGGACAUAUCCUGGAAAAAUGUAAAUUAAUGUUACAUUUUUUGUACCCCCAAUCAUGGUUAAGGAAAUGUCAUGUCUUGGCAAAGUUUUAAAUUAUAUAAUCAAUGACGUAUUCUGAAUCUAUAAUGAUGAGAAAAAUUGUAAUAAAAGAUGACCCAGAGAAAGCUGCAUUAGCUCUCUCUCUGGAGAUUGCUCGAACGGAACGACUCCUGUCUCAUCUUUCCAUCGACGCCACUCAUCCUUCAGGACUCCCUGGACCCCGCUAGGGCAGGACCCCGGCAAUUGGUGCCCGAACCAGGUAACUGAAGGUAAGCCCCCUCGGCAUUUGCCCCCUUGUUUUCGGAGUGGAUAGGCCAUUACCCAUGGGUUUCGCGAGCCCCCUGUUGGCAGAACAGGUAAGAGUGGGUAAUUAGGUAAAGGAAAAAUGGGAAAUACAGAAUCUAAGGAACGAGGAUUAUUCAUUGAUAUUGUUAAACAUAUGCUUAGGAAAAAAAUGGAAUUCAUGUUUCCACUUCACAAUUACAGAGGUUUUUUUCAUUUUAUUCAGGAAUGUUGUCCUUGGUUCCCAGAAGAGGGAACCUUAGAUUUAAAAACAUGGGUAAAAAUAAUAGAAGCUUUAAGAGCAUAUUACUCUAACUAUGGACCAGAAAAUAUGCCUGUAGAUGCUAUAGCAUUAUGAAAUCUUUUAAAAGAUAUGUUAGAUCCAGCUCAAGAAGCUGAAAUCUUAAAUAGGAUUAACUCAACUGCCCCUACUGAAGAAACUCCCCUAAGGAAGGACUCUAGGAGCGAAACUUUUGUCCUAAAAAAAGAUGAGGAGAAGGAUCCGUCUUGUUUAGAAAAUAAAGAUAAUUUAAAAGAAGCAGCUACUGAAUAUCAUAAUGAAGAAUUCUUUGCCCCUAUAAGUACACAUUCUUGUGGAUCUUCUACCAAAAAUAAAUUGGGUUCCAAAAUAAAAAAUACCUUACCACCUCCUCCACGAAAUGUAGGAUUUAAAGGAGCUAUGAAAGAGGCUCUACAGUCUGGAGAUUUAAGUUUUACUCUCCCUAUCACUUUUGAUUUAAAUGAUGAAAACUAUAUGCCUCAAUGGGAGCCCGUUUCCUUUAAAAUUUUUAAAAGAAUUAAAACAGUCUGUUCAUGAUUAUGGGCCCACUUCUCCUUAUACUUUACAGAUAGUAGAAAUUAUUGCCACUAGAUGGAUGAUUCCAUAUGAUUGGUUUGCUACUGCAAAAUCUUGUCUCCCUGGAGGGACAUUCUUAUUAUGGAAAACAGAUUAUGAAGAUAGAGCUAAAGAAAGCUCUCAAUAUAAGAAAUCUAUAAAUAGUGAAGUCACUUUUGAUAUGUUAAUGGGAGAAAAUGACUGGGCUCAGCCAAGUGAUCAAUUACAUCUGCCUCAUCCUGCCUUGAUCCAGUGCUCAGAUUUAUCAGUUAAUGCUUGGAGACAAUUGGAAAAUAAAGGAGUUAAAACUUCUGGCUUAAGUACUAUAAAACAAAAGCCUAAAGAACCUUUUGAGGAAUUUUUGUCUCGAUUAAAAGAAUCAGUGGAAAAAAUUAUAACUAAUAAUGAAACUGCACAAAUUAUAAUUAAACAAUUAGCUUUUUAAAAUGCAAAUACUGCAUGUCAGACACUCCUAAGACCUAUUAGAAAGACAGGAAAUUUAUCUGAUUUUGUUAAGGUUUGUGCUGAUGUAUCACCCUCAUAUUUGCAAGGUGUAGCCAUAGCUGCAGCAUUACGGGGACAAACAAAUGCUCAGUUUCUUAAAAGGCUUCAAAACAGAGAACAAAAUAAAGGAAAUCAAAGCUGUUUUUCUUGUGGACAGACAGGUCAUUUUAGUGAAGUUUGUCCUAAUAAAAACUUUCAAAAUAAAGGAAACAUAGUUCCUAAUCAGAUAUGUAGACCCCAAAAUUUAUACCCACGUUGUAAUAAGGGAUUUAACUGGGCAAAAGACUGUCGCUCUAAAUUUCAUAAAGAUGGGCGACUUUUAGAAGGUGGACCAAUGCCUCAAAAAUUUCCACAAAUGACUGCCAAUCCAUUACCGGGAAACUGGUAAUGGGGCCCUCCUCGGGCCCCUUAAAUAAUGGAGGUCAUCAACAAUCUUUUUCAACAGGAUAUACUAUAAGGGCUUUAUUAAGAGCCACACCAGAUUCAGCAGGAUUAGAUUUGGCAUCUUCAGAAUCAGUAGUUAUUCCCUCAGACUCUUCUGUUCUAGCUAUACCUACUAAAAUUUAUGGACCUUUACCUAAAGGAACUUUUGGUCUUAUUCUAGGAAGAAGCUCUGCUUCCCUAUAGGGAAUCAAAGUUAUUCCUGGAGUUGUUGAUUCUGAUUUUACUGGAGAAAUUAAGAUUUUAAUAGAACCCUCAUCUCAGAAGACUUUGAUUAUUCAUAAAGGGCAAAGAAUUGCUCAAAUCUUGCUACUCCCCUAUUUAUCUAUCGGAAACCGAGCUAUUUCAAAUGAACAAAGACAAAAAAAAGGAUUUGGCUCUAGUGAUAUGGCAUUCUGGGUUCAAAAAUUCAAAAUUCUCAUCCUAUGAAAAAACUAGAGAUUCAGGGAAAAAUAAUUGAUGGUUUAUUAGAUACAGGAGCAGAUGUCACUUGUAUAGCUGGAAAAGAUUGGCCUUCAACCUGGCCUACAACAGUAACUCCCUCAACACUUAUGGGACUUGGAACUGCUACUAAUGUAGCAAAAAGCACUCAAAUACUUAAAUGGGCUGAUGAUAAAAAUUCAGGAACUUUUCAGCCAUAUGUUAUUCCUUCUCUUCCUUUUACUUUAUGGGGCCGAGAUAUAAUGUUUAAAAUGGGAGUUUCUCUCUGUACUGCUCUUGUAGAAGAGGCUCAACAGGAUUUUUAAUUGGGGCCAUUGUUGAAACAGCAGAUAAAAUGACUUGGAAAAAUGAUGAGCCUGUAUGGAUAGAACAAUGGCCCUUAACAACAGAAAAAUUACAGGCUGCAGACUUGUUGGUUAAGGAACAACUUAAUUUAAAACACAUAGAACCUUCUAAUAGUCCAUGGAAUACUCCUAUAUUUGUUAUUAAAAAGAAAUGAGGUAAAUGGAGAUUAUUACAAGACUUAAGAGCUAUAAAUGCUACCAUGGAGGAUAUGGGUUCCUUACAACCAGGACUCUCCUCUCCAGUAGCUGUCCCUAAAGGAUUUCAUGUUAUGGUAAUAGACUUACAAUAUUGCUUUUUUACUAUUCCAUUGCAUCCUGAUGAUCGUAAAAGGUUUGCUUUUAGCCUUCCUUCUGUGAAUUUAAAACGGCCAUAUCAACGUUUUCAAUGGAAGGUGUUGCCUCAAGGUAUGAAAAAUAGUCCUACUCUCU